Molecule: long non-coding RNA, 1942 nt
Filed under: Nicotiana benthamiana
Lineage: Eukaryota; Viridiplantae; Streptophyta; Magnoliopsida; Solanales; Solanaceae
Description: long non-coding RNA (NBEN_LNC004366)
Source: RNAcentral
CAGCCCUUUCCCUUUGAAGAUACAAGAAAAGUACAAAGGCUACCAAAUCUAAACUAGCAGUGAAAAUCUAAUACGCGUGUUACUGGCAGAACGCACUCAUACAAUUCUAAACUAACGCUACUUGAAAACACAUUCAUAUGAUUCCAAAAGUCCGAUGAUCUAAUUAGCUACCAAUCAAUACUAAACUAAGGUGCUGGCAGAGCAUUCAUGCAAUUAUAAAAGGUCUAGCGGUCUAAUUAAUUACAAAUUAAUAUGUCGUCAGAUAAACAAAACUACUUCAUCCUUUCAACUAGACACAGAACAGGAAAUCUGCUACAUCCAUUUUACAUUGAGCCUUCACAAGUUGUAUGAGACCAAGUGAGUACCUGUAGUUCACAAUAAAAACCAAAAUAUGGGGUGAAUGAAUGGCUAGAAGUAAUAGCAGGAAGGAACAGCAACAUCAAUUUCAACUUUGAAUCCCAAAAAGAAAGACCAGUAAGCAGACCAAAAUCAACUCGAACAGGAAAAAUUCAGUUUGAAAUUAACUCAGAAGCUUUUUAUAGCCCUAAAUCCCUAAAAACUAGAAGAUGUUCAGGCUUUGGACUUUUGGCAAGCUAAAAUCCCACUGGAAAUUUAUGUGCUGUGUUUUUUGGUUUUGCAGAACUAGACCUAGAAUGAAAACCUUUCCUCAGAUUUUAAUUUUCAUAUUGAAAACCCAUUUUUGUGUAUUUUUCUGGACUUUUUGCCUCUAAGAAAAACUUGUGUGUGUUCUCAGAUUUUCAGCCUAAAAACCUCCUGCCUUGAAAGGCAGGUUUGCAAUGCCUUUAUAGGCAAGCAAAUAGGGCUGCCCUCAGAUUUCUAUUUUACCCCUUAGUCCCUCUUUUAUUUUUCAGUUUUUAACUAUUUAGUCCCCUAUUUAAUGCCUUGUUGGCCAAGUCUUAACACUAUUAACCUGAAAUUCACUAAGACCCUCUACUAUAAGCUUCUAAAUCAAUUUGUUAUGAAAGAUUCCUUGAAAUGAAUUCCUAAACUACUCUUUAUUUAGUCUGAAAUUUACCAACCUAUGUCAACUAACCCAGCCCCUCUUAAACUCAGUGAAAUAACAAUGGUUAACCAAACAAAUGGGCUGGAAAUCUUCAGCUUUAUAUCAUAAUUUGAACUAGAAUUUAUCCUAAUCAAUGUCAUUAUAGACUACUACUAUGAAUCAGAUAGAAUUUAAGAACCAAUAUUGAUAAAAUUCCAAAACAAAUAAUUAUCAAUCAGGCACAACCAAAUUAAAAAAACAGGUUUGCGCUGCCAAUUAUCAGAAAAUUAGAACUCAAAAUGAAUAAAAGCGAACAACUAUGAGGAGACAAAAACAAAAUCAAUUACUGACUCCAAACGGAUUGGUAAGCAAAAAUAAAAAUCAAAACCUAAAUCGAAUAAUCAUGAAGAGGAAUCAAACAUGGAGGGGGGAACUAUUUCAAAUAACAAAACCAAGAGAAAAAUUCAUAGAACUCACUGAUUUUGAGCUUUCAACUCGACUGGAUUCGAAUCGAGUCUUGAGAUAAUGUUAUGUGUUUGUUCUUGACAAGAACAAACACAUAGCAUAACUUCAAAACCCUUUCGAACACCGGCUAAACUUGGAAACCCGAACAGUCUUUGAACGAAAACCUUAGAUCUAAAAUUAGAAAGGUUAGACCUAGAUUUGAAUGGUUUUGGCUUGGGAUUUGGGAAAAGGGGGUCGAGGAGGGUUUAUGGUGUAAUUUUGGCUGGAUUUGGGUGAUUCACGGUUUAGCCGCCUCUUUUGACUCAAGAUUCAAGUGAUUUGGCUAGGAUUUGAAAGGAAAGGAGUGCAGAUAUGGAACGGGGAGGUAAAGAGAUAGCUAUGGUGUAAAUUUCAGGGAAUUUCGAGACUCGUUGCCGGCGGAGGCGAUUUCCGGUCGUCGGCAGACAUCGGAGGGGCGGCAAUUGAACAAGUACG